CGCCCAACAGCUAGCCAAUCUUAACAAUACCAACACCCCCCUUUUUAUACCCCUAAAGCCCCUUAAUUUAAUCAAACAAACCAUUUUUCCUCCUUAGUACGGGCGACGGAAAAGGAGCACUUUGAGCAAUAGAAAAAGUACCGCAAGGGAACGCUGAAAAAGAAAUGAAACAACCCAGUUAAGCCAAAAAAAGCAAAGAUUUCCCCUUGUACCUUUUGCAUCAUGAACUAGCUAGAAACCCUUAAGCAAAAAGUAUUUUAGUUUAACACCCCGAAACUAGGUGAGCUACUCCAAGACAGCCUAAAAAUAGGGCGACCCCGUCUCUGUGGCAAUAGAGUGGAAAGAGCUUUGAGUAGAGGUGACAGACCUACCGAACCCAGUUAUAGCUGGUUGCCUGAAAAUUGAAUAGAAGUUCAGCCUUUUCACUUCUCCCCCCACACCGACCUCUGGCCCUUCAACAGAGCAAGAGAAGCUUAAAGAGUUAAUCAAAGGGGGUACAGCCCCUUUGAAACAAGACACAACUUUCCAAGGUGGGAAAAGAUCACAACAAAUCCAAAGGUAAGUGUUCUAGUGGGCCUAAAAGCAGCCAUCCAAACAGAAAGCGUUAAAGCUCGGACAUGUUCAAAUAACCUUAAAAUCCUGACAAACAAAUCUUAACCCCCUAACACUAUCAGGCCCCUCCAUGUAACCAUGGAAGCGAUUAUGCUAGUACGAGUAAUAAGAGAACACGCAAUUCUCUCCCCGCCCACGUGUAAAUCGGAACGGACCCUCCACCGAAAAUUAACGGCCCCAAACAAAGAGGGUAUUGGACUUACAAUAAAGAUAACUAGAAAACCACCCAAAAUUCGCCGUUAACCCCACACUGGUGUGCCAGCCCGGAAAGACUAAAAGAAAGAAAAGGAACUCGGCAAACCCAAGCCUCGCCUGUUUACCAAAAACAUCGCCUCUUGCAAAACAAAAAUAAGAGGUCCCGCCUGCCCUGUGACCACAAGUUUAACGGCCGCGGUAUUUUGACCGUGCAAAGGUAGCGCAAUCACUUGUCUUUUAAAUGAAGACCUGUAUGAAUGGCAUGACGAGGGCUUAACUGUCUCUUCUUUCCAGUCAAUGAAACUGAUCUCCCCGUGCAGAAGCGGGGAUAUCCCCAUAAGACGAGAAGACCCUAUGGAGCUUUAGACAUAGGACAGACCAUGUUAAUCACCUCUAAUUAAAGAACAAAACUAAUUGGUACCUGCUCUAAUGUCUUUGGUUGGGGCGACCGCGGGGAAACAAAAAACCCCCAUGUGGACUGAAGAGACCCUUCUUCACAGUCAAGAGCCACAGCUCUAAACAACAGAAUUUCUGACCAACAAGAUCCGGCAAAGCCGAUCAACGGACCGAGUUACCCUAGGGAUAACAGCGCAAUCUCCUUCUAGAGCCCAUAUCGACAAGGAGGUUUACGACCUCGAUGUUGGAUCAGGACAUCCUAAUGGUGCAGCCGCUAUUAAGGGUUCGUUUGUUCAACGAUUAAAGUCCUACGUGAUCUGAGUUCAGACCGGAGCAAUCCAGGUCAGUUUCUAUCUAUGACAUGUUUUUUUCCAGUACGAAAGGACCAAAAAGAAGAGGCCCCUGCUACCAGCACGCCUCCCCCUCAUCUAAUGAAGCCAACUAAACUAGAUAAAAGGGCAUACCCCCUAGCUUAAGAGAAUAGCAU
Molecule: ribosomal RNA, 1690 nt
Filed under: Paretroplus maculatus
Lineage: Eukaryota; Metazoa; Chordata; Actinopteri; Cichliformes; Cichlidae
Description: 16S rRNA
Rfam family: Bacterial large subunit ribosomal RNA (bases 97-1583)
Source: RNAcentral